Molecule: ribosomal RNA, 253 nt
Filed under: uncultured bacterium
Lineage: Bacteria
Description: partial 16S ribosomal RNA
Rfam family: Bacterial small subunit ribosomal RNA
Source: RNAcentral
UACGGAGGAUGCAAGCGUUAUCCGGAAUGAUUGGGCGUAAAGCGUCCGCAGGUGGCAAUGUAAGUCUGCUGUCAAAGCGUCUGGCUCAACCAGAUACAGGCAGUGGAAACUACAUAGCUAGAGUAAGGUAGGGGUAGAGGGAAUUCCGGGUGUAGUGGUGAAAUGCGUAGAGAUCCGGAGGAACCCCAGAGGCGAAGGCGGCGCCCUGGCUCGCAACUGACGCUCAGACACGACAGCAUGGGGAGCGAACGGG